Molecule: unclassified non-coding RNA, 87 nt
Filed under: Trypanosoma theileri
Lineage: Eukaryota; Euglenozoa; Kinetoplastea; Trypanosomatida; Trypanosomatidae
Source: RNAcentral
AAAACAAACAAAAACAAUAAUAUAAAAAAUAUGGGAAUGUUGUGUGUUCUCACACACAUUCUCAUAUAUAUUUUUUAUUUAUUCAUU